AUGGAAACCACGAGGCUAUCCUUGCUCUCUCUUCUUCCUUUCCUUCUCCUCGCGAUCGCUGCCGAGGCAACCGGCGGCGAGCUCAGCACGUACAUCGUCCACGUGCAAGCGGAGGAGAACCGCGUGUUUGGCACCCCGGACGACCGGAAGACGUGGUACCACUCGUUCCUCCCGGAACAUGGCCGGCUCGUGCACGCGUACCACCACGUCGCGAGCGGGUUCGCGGCCCGGCUGACGCGGCCGGAGCUGGAGGCGGUGUCCGCCAUGCCCGGGUUCCUCAGCGCGACCCGCGCCCGGACGUACACCACGCUCACGACGCACACGCCCGAGUUCCUCGGGCUGAACCUGGAGCAGGGGCGGCGGAACUACACGUCGGAGUUCGGCGCCGGGGUCAUCGUAGGCGUGAUCGACAGCGGCAUCUUCCCCGACCACCCGUCGUUCAGCGACGAUGGCAUGCCGCCGCCACCGGCCAAGUGGAAGGGGCGCUGCGACUUCAACCGCACCUCGUGCAACAACAAGCUCAUCGGCGCGCGCAACUUCGUCUCCACCCUCAACGACCCGAACGGCACUUCCGCGCGGGUGCCGCCGAUCGAUGACUUUGGGCACGGCACUCACACCGCGAGCACCGCGGCGGGAGCGGUAGUGCCGGGCGCUAACGUGCUUGGCCACGCGUUGGGCACCGCCGCCGGGAUGGCGGCCCGCGCGCACAUCGCCAUGUACAAGGUGUGCGACCUGAACGGAGGGUGCAAGACGUCCGACAUGCUGGCCGGUGUCGACGCGGCCGUGGGCGACGGCUGCGACGUCAUUUCCAUGUCUCUCGCCGGGCCGUCCGUGGCCUUUCACCUAGAUCCUAUGGCCAUCGGGACGUUCGGCGCCAUAGAGAAGGGCAUUUUUGUGAGCAUGGCUGCUGGCAACUCCGGCCCGGGAGAGAGCUCCGUGAAAAACGAGGCUCCGUGGAUGCUCACCGUUGGCGCGAGUACCAUGGACCGCUCCAUCCGUUCGAUCGUGCAGCUGGGGAAUGGCGCGUAUUUCCAGGGCGAGUCACUCUACCAGCCAAACGCCGGUGUGCACGGUGCCUUCUACCCGUUGGUGUCCGCCGGCGCGAGCGGGAAGCCACUCGCCGAGUUCUGUGGGAACGGCUCGCUGGACGGCUUCGACGUCAAGGGCAAGAUAGUGCUCUGUGAACUCACGAGAAAUAUCACGGCGAUGAACCAAGGUCAGGUAGUGCUGAGUGCUGGCGGCCUCGGCAUGAUCUUGGCCAACCAGUUUGCCCAAGGCUACGACACGUUAGCCGACGAGAACGUCCUGCCGUCGUCGAGCGUCGACUACCUCGCGAGCGCAGCCAUCAAAUUGUAUCUCAGCUCAACGGCGAACCCGGUGGCGCAUAUCGGCUUCAGGGGUACAGUACUCGGCACGUCACCUGCUCCGUCGAUCGUUUACUUCUCAUCUCGUGGGCCUAGCCGUCAGGGCACCGGCGUUCUGAAGCCCGACAUCACGGGCCCCGGGGUGAACGUGCUCGCCGCAUGGCCGUUUCAGAUCGGGCCACCGUCAGCACCAGUUCUUCCCGGACCGACCUUCAACAUCAUCUCCGGCACGUCCAUGUCGACACCGCACCUCGCCGGCAUUGCGGCGCUGAUCAAGAGCAAGCACCCGGACUGGUCGCCGGCGGCGAUCAAGUCGGCCAUGAUGACGACGGCUGACAUCACCGACCGCUCCGGCAAUCCCAUACUCAAUGAGCAGCGCGUGGUGGCCAACCUCUUCGCCACCGGCGCCGGACAUCACCCCCGAGGAUUACAUCGGCUACCUCUGCAGCAUGUACACGAGCCAGCAAGUGUCGGUGAUCGCGCGCCGGCCGAUCGACUGCUUGACCACCGUCGUGAUCAGUGA
RNAcentral lists this ribosomal RNA (1887 nucleotides) under Triticum aestivum (bread wheat). RNAcentral describes it as "partial small subunit ribosomal RNA". The record is from RNAcentral. Lineage: Eukaryota; Viridiplantae; Streptophyta; Magnoliopsida; Poales; Poaceae.